ACGGGAGGUAGCAGUGGGGGAUAUUGCACAAUGGGGGAAACCCUGAUGCAGCAACGCCGCGUGAGGGAAGACGGUUUUCGGAUUGUAAACCUCUGUCUUCGGUGACGAUAAAAGACGGUAGCCGAGGAGGAAGCCACGGCUAACUACGUGCCAGCAGCCGCGGUAAUACGUAGGUGGCAAGCGUUGUCCGGAAUUACUGGGUGUAAAGGGUGCGCAGGCGGGGAUGCAAGUCAGCUGUGAAAACUAUCGGCUUAACUGAUAGACUGCAGUUGAAACUGUAUUUCUUGAGUGAAGUAGAGGUAGGCGGAAUUCCUAGUGUAGCGGUGAAAUGCGUAGAUAUUAGGAGGAACACCAGUGGCGAAGGCGGCCUACUGGGCUUUAACUGACGCUGAGGCACGAAAGUGUGGGGAGCAAACAGGAUUAGAUACCCUGGUA
This is a ribosomal RNA of 435 nucleotides. It matches the Rfam family "Bacterial small subunit ribosomal RNA", at positions 341 to 792 of the family's 1533-position model.